RNAcentral lists this transfer RNA (73 nucleotides) under archaeon. RNAcentral describes it as "tRNA-Glu". It matches the Rfam family "tRNA". Rfam says of the family: Transfer RNA (tRNA) molecules are approximately 80 nucleotides in length. Their secondary structure includes four short double-helical elements and three loops (D, anti-codon, and T loops). The record is from RNAcentral.
GGCCCCAUCGUCUAGAGGCCUAGGACACCGGAUUCUCAUUCCGGGAACAGGGGUUCGACUCCCCUUGGGGCUG